GGCACAGUUCGACAUUGUUCAUUUUCUGAUAAACUUCCUGCUUUUUUAAAGCCAAAAAAUACAGAUUGAGCGAAAAGACAAAGUGCGAACACCAAAAGAUGUGCUAAUUAUUAUCAGAUCUUUGAAAAUGCAUUUUUCCAAUCCUGGUGCAACCUGAGCUUACCAAAUUUACGUCCUACUGUCACUUUGGACAUUGUGAAGAUGAUAAUAUGGACAAUAUAUUGUGUUGUGAUUGACUGUUUUUUUUAUCAGAUAAAGUGUUAUAUUCCAGACUUAACAUGUCAUUUUUCAUCAAGGAAUAACAAAAAUACAAUUGCAUUGAUAUGCAUGAAUUUGUAGUACAUUAUAUCAACAAUGUGUUAAUUAUGUUGGUUUUUUAACAGUCUGUCAUCCAUAAGUAAACAUAUUAAGCAUGUUAAGUAUGUUUAGGGAAUAUAAUGUAUACAUUUUUGUUGUUUCUGCAAACUAAAUCAGAUACACGAAAAUCUGUUUUAUGAUUAAUGAUGAAAAACUCACUCAUAGUGAUCUCACUAUAAAAUUUUCUGUCCAGUAUAAUAAAUAAAUUGUAUUGUAUGCCUGGUAUGUGUCCUAAAAAUAAAAUCACAAUUACUGUUGUAGUUCAUAUUGACAUCAAGAUAUGUGAUGUAAAUAUAUGUAGUCAAAUUAUGUAUACAUGUAUAUUAUUUUAACCGGUAAACAAAAAUUAAGAAGUGUAACGUUCAAUCUAUGAUGAUGUGUGCCAUUAAAUAUGUCUUGCUGAUUGCAAUAAUUUUGUUUAAGUUACAAAUCGUCAUUUUGAACCUCUACAUAUGAAAUGAGUGAAAUUUGUUUUCUAUCUACACUUAUACUGAGUUUAAUAAUAUAUUAACUAUAAAUAUAUUGUUGAUAACACAUAGCAUGUAUAUGCAAUUGAAAAUGUACUGUUUCCAUAGCAGCUGUAAAGUAACUUAAUUAAAUUUGUCUAAUUAAUUUUAUCAAUUGUUGAAUAAACUAGAAUUGCUAAUUUAAGAAAAUGUCUGACAGUAUAGAUGCACAACACAAAUUGUAUCAUGAGCCGUCAUUUAUUUUAGUUUCAAAUUUGUAGCUAUACAAACAGUUCAAUUACUGAAUACACACCUAUUUCAAGAAAAUGUGCAAACAUUUUUUUUAUAAACAUAUUUAUGAUGUUACAUAUCUGUCUAGGGCAUUUUUUUAUUUUUCUGUUAUGUUUUCUUAAAUUCUUUAAAAUGGUAAUAAAUAUGGAAAAAGAACAUUUUUGUUUCCAUGGCAACCACGAGUAUUUAUGAUUUAUCAUACUACAAUUAAUUGUGUAUUUUGUAAUCAAUUAUGUUAAUCUACAUAUGCGAAUAAUGGAGUUAUUAUCAGCAUGUACUGAUCAACAUCACAUGUACUGAUACUUAUUGAAUUAACACGUCAUUUCAUUAAAAAUGGCGCUAUGGGCGUUUAUGACAUGACACAUAAAAAAUGACAUAACUUCGUCAUUUUUAGCUCUACUGGCCAAAGGCUAGAACAGGUUAUGGGAUGGCGAGUUUUUUUUUCGUCCGUGCGUUAGACUUUUUCUUGUUUACGCGAUAAAGUCCACGGUUUUCAUCCGAUUCUUUUCAAACUUCUUCAGUGUCUUUAUAUUAAUGAGGACUCGAACCCUAUUGAUUUUCAGGUCACUAGGUCAAAGGUCAAGGUCACAGUGAUUCGAAAUAGUAAAAUGGUUACCGGAUGAUAACUCAAGAAUGUUGACGCCUAGGAUCAUGAAACUUCAUAUGUAUAUUUAUCUAUAAUGAUCUAUGCGAUAAUGUCAAUACGCCUUGUUGGGCAAGUAGAAUAAAUUCCAUUGUUGAUCAUCUAGGCUAUGCACAUAUCAGAUUAUUUUUCGAUCAUAGCGUGUACUAUUAUAGUUUGUUGAAAUCAAAAAUAAGAGAUCAAUUUGUACAGGAAUGGCAUGAUAGUAUUAAUGCAAUGUCAAAACUUGAUAGUUAUUGCAAAUAUAAAACCGAAUUUUGUUUUGAAAAAUAUUUUGAUGUUAUAACUAAUGACAAGUUACGAAAAUUAUUGACAAGUAUACGAUUAUGUUCCCAUAGUCUAGAGAUAGAAGUAGAAAGAUAUUUUAACAUAGAAAGAGAUAAUAGAUUGUGCAAAUUAUGUAGUCAAAAUGCUGUAGAAUCAGAAUAUCAUUUAAUUUUAUGUUGCUCAAAGUAUAGAUGUAUAAAUCCAAAAUAUAUUGGAAAUUGUUCAUGGCCUACUGUUAAAAAAAUUCAUUUUAUAAAUGUCAACAAAAAGUAAAAAAUGUAUGUAUAAUCUUGCAAAAUAUAUUAAAGAAUCUCUCUGUUUAAGACAAUAUGCCCUUGAAAACCUAACUGUUCUCUGAUUGUUAUGUAAUAUUCUGUUGUGUUCUUUGUUAUAUGUAUAUGAAAUUAGUUUAAAUAGAAAUUGUAUUUGUAUAUAUGUAUAUGAUUGUCUUUGCCAUAAGUUUUAUGUAUUUGUAAAUGGCCAAAGGCAAAUAUUUUGCCGAUUGCUAAUAAACUGAAACUAAACUUUAUCAUGACUAGCAGAUGACCCCUAUUAAUUUUUCAGGUCACUUGGUCAAAGGUCAUGGUCACAGUGACUCGAAACAGUAAAAUGGUUUCCGGAUGAAAACUCAAGAAUGCUUACGCCUAGGAUCAUGAAACUGCAUAGGUACAUAAAUCAUGACUGGCAGAUGACCCCUAUUGAUUAUUUGGUCACUAGGUCAAGGGUCAAGGUCACAGUGACUCGAAAAAGUAAAAUGGUUUCCGGAUGAUAACUCAAGAAUGCUUACGACUAGGAUCAUGAAACUUAAGAGGUACAUUGAUCAUGACUGACAGAUGACCCCUAUUAAUUUUUAGGUCACUAGGUCAAAGGUCAAGGUCACAGUGACUCGAAACAGUAAAAUAGUUUCCGGAUGAUAACUCAAGAAUGCUUACGCCUAGGAUCAUGAAACUUCAUAGAAAGAUUGAUCAUGACUGGCAGAUGACGCCUAUUGAUUUUCAGGUCACUAGGUAAAAGGUCAAGGUUACAGUGACUCGAAAUAGUAAAAUGGUUUCUGGAUGAUAACUCAAGAAUGCUUACACCUAGGAUAAUGAAAUUUCAUAGGUACAUUGAUCAUGACUGGCAGAUGACACCUAUCAAUUUUCAGGUAAAACGUCAAGGUCACAGUGGCUCAAAACAGUAAAAUGGUUUCCUGAUAAUAGCUGCAAGACAUAAUAGGCCUAGGAUCAUGAUACUUUAUAGGUACAUUGAUCAUGACUGGCAGAUGGCUCCUAUUGAUAUUCAGGUCAAAGGUAAAGGUCACAGUGACCAAAAACGUAUUCACACAAUGGCUGCUGCCACUACGACUGACAGCCCAUAUGGGGGGCAUGCAUGUUUUACAAACAGCCCUUGUUUAAAAAGAGCAAUAUCGAAGCGAUAAGUCCAGAAAUACUUCCCUUUGAAUAUGAGAAAAUUUUGAAAUUCCGCUUCUUUACGCAAUUAAUUCCACAGUUUUCAUCCGAUUGUUUCCAAAUUUGCACAGUAUCUUUAUAUCAAUGAGGACUUGAACCCUAUUGAAUAUAUGAGCAGUAUCGGAGAAAUAAGUACACAACAAUCUCCCCUUGAAUUUGAGAAAAUAUUCCUUGUUUGCGCGUUUAAGUACACAGUUUCCAUCUUAUUAUUUCCAAACUUGCACAGUGUUCAUAUCAGUAGAGCGAUUCAGGCCCUCGUGAGCCUCUUGUUAGGAAUUGGAUGCUCAAAUUUAAGAUUUUGUUUUGUCAGAUGUAGCACUUUCAUAAUAUAUGCCUAACUAAAACGUCAUUUUUUUACCAGAUGGGUCAAAAUCUCGUUCCCAGCCACAUAUCUUGGUUAGAAGGUGAUUUUUCAAGCGGUUCCGUAGUGUAGUGGUUACACGCUCGCAUCGCAUGUGAGAGGUCCAAGGUUCGAGCCCCUGUAUAAUAAAAUUAUUUUAUUUGUGUUCUAUGUUAACUUUUUGUUUUGAUGUAGACAUUUUAGUUUAAAUAAAUAUGCUGUUUUAUUGUUA
This is a long non-coding RNA of Dreissena polymorpha, 4024 nucleotides long. RefSeq lists it as uncharacterized. NCBI's taxonomy places the organism in Eukaryota, Metazoa, Mollusca, Bivalvia, Myida, Dreissenidae. The record is from RefSeq and is a predicted model, not a curated record. The transcript has 3 exons.